UUGACUUCAGUUACUAAUGAGAUUCUUUUGUGAUGUUUGGGUAUUGUUGAGAGCUGACUUUUUUGCAUGAUUUUGGAUGAACAUUAUUAUGUUUGCUUAUGGAUUGGAUUAUUGAUUGCUUGAGGACAAGAAAAAGUUUCAGUGCGGGGUAAUUUGAUAUGUUGCAUUCUAUACAUGUUUUUGUGCUUCAUUCAUUCAUGUUUAUGCAAGUAUUGGAGUCAUUUUUAUGGU
This 231-nucleotide long non-coding RNA is filed under the name Ricinus communis (castor bean). RNAcentral describes it as "long non-coding RNA (RCOM_LNC000231)". The record is from RNAcentral. Lineage: Eukaryota; Viridiplantae; Streptophyta; Magnoliopsida; Malpighiales; Euphorbiaceae.